Molecule: non-coding RNA, 134 nt
Organism: Triticum aestivum (bread wheat)
Lineage: Eukaryota; Viridiplantae; Streptophyta; Magnoliopsida; Poales; Poaceae
Source: Rfam
AUACUAUUACCACCGUCCCAAAUUACUUGUCUUAGGUUUGUCUAGAUACGGAUGUAUCUAACACAAAACUUGUCUAGAUACAUCUCUAUCUAGACAAAUCAUAGACAAAUAAUUCGGGACGGAGGGAGUACCAU